This 408-nucleotide ribosomal RNA is filed under the name uncultured bacterium. Its description in RNAcentral is "partial 16S ribosomal RNA". It matches the Rfam family "Bacterial small subunit ribosomal RNA", at positions 29 to 526 of the family's 1533-position model. The record is from RNAcentral.
AGUGAACGCUGGCGGCGUGCCUAAUACAUGCAAGUCGAACGGAGUGGCGCACGGGUGAGUAAUAUAUAGCUAAUCUGCCCCUUGCUGGAGGACAACAGUUAGAAAUGACUGCUAAUACUCCAUAGCAAGGGAUGAGACUAUAUCGUAUCAGCUAGUCGGUGGGGUAACGGCCUACCGAGGCUAUGACGCGUAACUGGUCUGAGAGGAUGAUCAGUCACAUUGGAACUGAGACACGGUCCGAGAUCCUACGGGAGGCGGCAGUAGGGUGUAGUACGCAAUGGGGGGAACCCUAACACGGCAGCGCCGCGUAGAGGAUGACAAUUUUCGAAGAGUGAGCUCAGUUUGAUAGGGAAACGGUACCUGACGAAUAAGCACCGGCUAACUCCGUGCCAGCCGCCGCGGUAAUUC